Molecule: ribosomal RNA, 253 nt
Filed under: uncultured bacterium
Lineage: Bacteria
Description: partial 16S ribosomal RNA
Rfam family: Bacterial small subunit ribosomal RNA
Source: RNAcentral
UACGUAGGGUGCAAGCGUUGUCCGGAAUUAUUGGGCGUAAAGAGCUCGUAGGCGGUUUGUCGCGUCUGCUGUGAAAACUCGGGGCUUAACCCCGGGCCUGCAGUGGGUACGGGCAGGCUAGAGUGCGGUAGGGGGGACUGGAAUUCCUGGUGUAGCGGUGAAAUGCGCAGAUAUCAGGAGGAACACCGGUGGCGAAGGCGGGUCUCUGGGCCAUUACUGACACUGAGAAGCGAAAGCAUGGGGAGCGAACAGG